Molecule: unclassified non-coding RNA, 494 nt
Filed under: Hevea brasiliensis (rubber tree)
Lineage: Eukaryota; Viridiplantae; Streptophyta; Magnoliopsida; Malpighiales; Euphorbiaceae
Source: RNAcentral
GAUGGAUAUGAAGAAUAUAGUGGCACUGAGUACCCGUCAGCAGGAUGCUAUGAAGAAUACAAGAUCAUUGAGUAAGUUGCUAUGAAUACCUGUUUUCUAAUACAAACAUGAAUAUCUAUGUGAUAAGUUGAAGCAUGUGAGAUAAUUACUUAUGAAAGUCAUGAUAUACUGUUCUACAAGGGAAAUAUUUUUAGAUCGGUGGCAUAGACAACAAGAAGGUGAAGGGAAAAAAAAUUAAGCAAUUAAGAAGCUUAGAAUUAAAGGAGGGGUUUUAAGUAAUAGAGCUGGAAAUGGUUUCGGACUUGGAAACAGCAUAGUGGUAUCAGGUUGAAUUGGUCCAAACGGACCACAUCAGCCGCCAAUUUCAUGAAUUUUUUAAAAACUAUCAACAAGAUGACAUAUGUUUAAAUUUAAAUUACUAGUUUAAAACUUUUUGUAAAUUGGUGAUGUUUUUGUUUCUCCUCACACAGUAUUUCCUUCUUCCUUUGAAAUUG